Chlorocebus sabaeus (green monkey) is the source of this 8138-nucleotide long non-coding RNA. RefSeq lists it as uncharacterized. Lineage: Eukaryota; Metazoa; Chordata; Mammalia; Primates; Cercopithecidae. The record is from RefSeq and is a predicted model, not a curated record.
GAUUAUUACAAUUCAAGGUGAGAUUUGAGUGGUGACACAGCCAAACCAUAUCAGUGGGCCCUCAAUAAAUAUUUGUCCACUAAAUAGAUGACCAAAUAAAUCUGACCCUGUCGCUUUCUUACUUGUGACCUUUCAGUGUUUUUACUCCCCCUCCCUCAUCACCUGCUUAAUAAAAGCUGUACUCUAUCAUGACAUGAUCUAGCACUGGUCCAACUUCAUUUUCUACCUCUUCCCAACUCACCUGAUAUAUUUUCUUUUCCUAUUAACACUGAUUAGCACUGAAUAACUUGUUCACAGAGAGCGCUAUAAUUUAUCAGGACUGCAAGCCUUUGCAUGUGCUAGAGUCCCUCUGCCUGGGACACCUUCCUGUUCCUUUGCCUGACAAGUUACUAUUCAUUUUUAAAAUUUUAUCACGAGUUACUUUCCUGAAAGAGGUUCUUCUGGAGCUUGAGGCAACCUUUGGCUUUCCUUUCUUUAUGAUCUUAUUACACAUUUUGUACCUCCUUAAGUACUUUUAUCAUAAGUACUUUCAUCAAUCUCUGGUUUCACUCUACUUUUGGGUAUGCAGGAAGAUCAUACUUUUUUGUCUCUUUGAAAUUAUGUAUAGCCAUGUGGCUUUAUCUGGCCAGCAAAAUAUAAGUGGAGUUGUUGUGCUGAAGCAUACUUAUAAGUGGGAGUGCAAUUCUCCAUUUCUUCUGCCAUCUUCCAAGAUAAUCAGUUACAUUCUAUGUAAUGGAGUCUCUGUUAGUCUGUGUCUCCAAAUGUGGAUGAAGUUGAGCAGAAUCCCCGACCUGUGCAUGAUGGACAUAUAAUAUGAGCAAGAAACAAAUCUUUAUUGUUUUAAGCUAUUGAGAUGUUGAGAUUGUUUAUUACUGCAGUAUAACCUCAUCUAUCCUGACAAACAUACUUCCACAUAGUCAUUACCCUAUCUCUUAAUAAUAGCAGUUUACCAUUUCUUUGAGGUCAAGGCAAUAUUAUUACAUUUCUUUUUAGAUUAGGCACUUAAAAUAUUUGUUAGUACAAUGCUAGAAAAAAUAUUUUUGGACACCUGCGAUGUGCCUGGCACUGUACUAAGGAUUUUACUCAUGUUAUUUAAUCCUCAACAACCCUAUGGGUAGGCAUGAUUCCCAUUUUACUGACAGAGAAAGAAGCUCAGAGGGGUUGAGGUGACUUUCUCAAUGUCACACCACUGGUGAGAAACAGAAUCAGCCACCAACCAAGUAGUUCUGAUUCUUCCGCUCACACUCAUUCCGCUACACGCUGCCCUGGGAGUAACAGAUGAAGUAUGUGCUGUCUGCGAGGAGGUCCCAUCCAUGCAGACAUACCUGUCCUAAACCUUGUACUGGACAACUAAACAAGCAUCAAACAAAUCCGAGUGUCAAGUAAGUGAAUAAAAAAAUUGGAAACAUUUUUAGGAUCUAAUGGGAAAUGGAGAAUCCUUUCGAUAACUUUUCAGUUCUUAAGGAAAAGCCAGUCACAUCCUGUGUGUUCAGUGAGAAUCCCAUCUGUGGCCCAGUACAGAAGUCAAUUUCAGAGCAUUGCCUGUUUGGCCCUGUUCUGGUUGGUGUGGCUGACUUCUGGAGCCAUUUCCUUGGUAACAUUUCUGAACAUGUACUAACAAUCAAUGACAAGGCAUGGUCACACAGUCCAGCCUCUAGCCUGGUAUGGCAUUCUCAGAACAUAUUUCCUCAAGAGUGUGUCAGCUGGGUCCUUAGGCAGCUGUUAGAUGAUGGGUUGAAGUAGACUGACAGUGGAAUGAAGACAUACUCUAAGCCUCAUGGAACUAUAGCUUUGAGUACCGUGACCCAUUGAAGGAAAAACCUCCACUAAGGGGCUGGUACUCAGGCUAGAGAGAGCUUCCAAGAAGGAGGGAAUAGCAGCCUGAGAGAUAAGUGGCUGCAUGCCACUAAGUGCCCCAUGGAGGGUUUUCCCAUCUGUGGAGGGAGUAAGUUUUGAGACAGCAUCUCAAGGGAUGGCUUCCUGGUUGAUGUGACCCUCAGAGUUGGGCUUGGCCCUAGAAAAUUCUCAUUUCCUUUUAACUGUUAUUCUUGCCGCUCCAUUGAAUUUUAUUUGCAUUAUUUGUGCAUUCUUUCUACUCUGAACUUUGACAGUGUAUAACAUGCAUUUGGUAUUUUUCAUGUAUUAUUAUAUUUAAUAUAAUACAUAUACAUAUUUGGGGAAGUUGAAUGUCAUUUGCACAAUCAGUUUGUAUGUUUUUUGAAGACAGAGUGGGGCUUAUAUACUUUGGGCAGGCAUCUAGUGUGGAGCUUCACACAUUUCCAGCUCUGUUAUCUGACCCAAUUUGUGCCACUUCUUUGGUGAAACAGCUGUUAGUGACCAACAGCAUCUUUGAUUCUGAGGGUAUUAAGGAACCAGAAUAUGUAAUACAACAAUCCUUUGCUCAUUUUUAGAUCCUGGUUUGAACAGCAAAUUUUCUAAAGUUGUUUCCUGUGUUUUGGUAGAGUGAAGAUAGCAAGGGUGUUUCAGUUGUACAGGGGUUUAAUUUAUAGAGGUGACUGAGUGACAGCACAGACGGGUCAAUGCCGUUGAAAGAAGAGUUUAUUAUUUUCAGUUUCCAGGAGGAGGAGACACACUCUGCCAUACAGAGCCACCUGGGGAAGCACCAGGGUCGGUCAGGAGGCAGAAAGCAUGAGCACAGCCUUUAUCACGGUUUCUGCAGGCAAGGCAGGCAAGGCAGAGUAUUUAGGAUUGGCUGGUUCUGAGCCAUAGUUUUGGUGGUUUCUAGUUAUCUGGUACCUGGCCCUGGGGUGAUUUAGGGCAGUGAAAGAUUGGCUUUGUGUGUGAGAGUUGGAUAAAGUAGAUGGAUGGGAAUAUGGACUUUGGAUUUCUUGGUUUGCACAAGAAACGUGUGCUCAAAGACAAGUUGUUUGGUAUCUGUAGGAAUUAGCUAAUCCUGGGAGGGGCAGUCUCCCCCCAGCCAGCAAGGUCCCCAAGAUAUCAAAGCAUCAUAAAACACAGAUAAUAAGAAACAUGAUUAAUACAAAAAUUUAUUUCUAUAGAGACUGGACUAGAAAAUUCUGAGAGGCUUUUCACCUGUACCAAGUCCUGGUUUACUCUUCCCAGCAAGACUAUGAAGUGGGUUUUAUCCCCAUUUUACAGAGGAAGAAACUGAACCUCCUUGCCUAAGUCAGCCAGCUGGCAGGUGAGGGAUUAGGGGCUUAAUCUCCAGUUCCGCCACUGCACCUUGGGGUUUAUUAAACCACACAGAGAAGAUAGUUUGGCUCCAUCUGCUGCUUGAGGCAGCGUUGAAGUUAAGGCCCUUGGAAUGUGAAUGGCAGUAAUUAGGUCUCUGAGUUUAGGACCAGGCUGAGCAAAGGAAAGGAAGUUCAUGUCUGGGCUAGUGCUCACAGGCCCUGCACUUCCUUUAUUCAGCUGGGUGUCAGCAGGGAGGGUUGACUUUUUUAUCUUAAGCUAAGCUUCCAAUUUGGACAUACAUCACCAUCCAAGGCGAGGCCUGAAACCUUGGGUGUCUGUGAAUUUAACAUGUUUGUAGCUGCUUGAGGCUGCUUGACAGGCCAAUGUCAAGGUUAUCGGGGUGGCCAGGCUGUACCCAUUGACAUGUGUCUGUAGCUGGACACUCAAGCCAAACCCAGUGGAGAGUGGUCCCAGGAGUGGGGAGUCAGCCCUGGCAAGGAGUGUGGUUGGCUUGAGAGGGAGUGAGCACAGUUUGAUUCUGUGUUUCUUUCCUUCCUCACAUGGACAGUUCCCUCAUCUUCCUGUGCAUGGGUGAUACACCAGAGACUUAAAACUUUGCUACCUAUCUAUUUUAGAUUGCGUGUUGAAAGCAGAAUUGCUGAAAAUAUAAUGUUGCUUCAAUGACUGCCCAGUGGCACCCUUCCAUUCCAAGUAGGAUGCCUUUAAGUCAUGUAACAAGGGCCAGCCAAGGGAGACUGCUCUUUGGGAGCAAGACCAGCCACAAUGUCCAGAGGAAAGUAGAUUUGAAGUGUGUGGGGACUCUAGAGCUAGACCAUGGGCCUUCUAAUCUUACCAUCGCCACUUCCUGACUGUGACCUCAGGCAAAUGACUUAAUAAGAACGAACACUUGACAGAUUUGCAAAGCCCUUUACAUAGAAUAACUUGUCUAGUCCUCAAAAUCAACUCUAAGGAAGGUGGAGUAUUGCCUCCAUUUACUGAAGAAGAAACUGAGGCAGAGGAGAUUACAUAACAUGCAAAAGCCGGACCCUAAUAAAUGGCAGAACCAGUAUUCAGAUUCCUUCCUGCAGUCUGGCCUCUGUGUCCAUGGCUUAACCACAACCAAUACACUUUCCUAUUGCACUUGAGCUUGCAGCAUGUUCAUUUCCUCAUCUGAGAAAUGCAUGUUAUAAUAACCCUUGCUGCAUGGGGUUGCCGAGGGAUGUAUUGGGAUAGCAUGUAGAACGGGUUUGACACAGACUAAGUGUUCAGUAAGUGUUAGCUUUUAUUAUUCAUUAUAAACUGCUGUGUCCUCCACUUUUUUGUAUUGGUUGUUUUUCCUCGUGCUCCUUCUCUGGGGCUAUAGAAAGUGAGAAGAACCCGAGGGCUUAUAUUCUUAGCUAAAUUUAGAAAAAAAAAUCCUAGAGCAUAUAGUAGCUGUAUUAAUGUCCACUGUACCUUCUGACCUUGGUAAACCUCUGAUGGAUUCUCUCCCUGCACAGUCUCACUCCCCACUGAGCCUGAGGCCUCGCAUAUGACAGGAUAAAUCAAGAGUUGUGAACAUGCAGGAGCCCUGGUGGGACCUUGGGUGGCUGACCUGUGACAGCGCCUGGGUGCUGAGGAGGCUUCUUCUCUCAGGAAAUGAAAGCCCAGAGACGAGAUGAUUUUUAAGAGUUGAACUGAGCUGCAAGCAUGUGGAUCAUAUAAGUGUUAACAGAGGCAGACAGAGAAGAGAGACCUGCCAUGAAGUGCUAUGGUGGGAGGUGUGUCAGCUCGGGGGUGGAGGAGUCCCAGGUGGCCCCAGGAGAAGAGGCCUCUGAACAAAGAAGACAAUGCUUGGGUUAUGGUGGAGGGGAUAUGGAAGCUCAACGUCUCCAGUGCGACUCUCCCACACACCCAGCGCCAUCUUGUAGACACGCUGAUGUUUCCGGACCGCGGGCGCCCAGCCUGGAAGAGCGCUCCACACUGAAGUGGAAGGAAACUUCACACUUAAUUCAUCAAGUUCAAACUGAGCUGUGGUGAAAGGAAUGGGGCGGAGUGAAAGGAACACCCACAUGCCCCAGAAGACCCCAGGGCAUCGCUGCCUUUCAGCUUCUUUUGCGUUUUGUGCAGCUCGUGUCACAUUCCAAGGACACUCAGCUCUGCGCACAUGCACAGAGGGCCGCGUGUGUCCCGGGGCGUGUUACCUAAAACCACGCGCUGACCUCCAGGUUAUGGGUUCUUCUGGAGUCUUCUGAACCUGCCGGGCAUUUCUGACUGGAUGAAAAUUAACAAAAGUCCAUGUUCAACCUGAUGAAAAUUAGCAGCAGUUCAUCUUAAUUUAAUUGCCACAGCAUGCAGCUAUGUGAGUACGUAUAUUUUCAUUCAUGUAUUUGAAAUAUUUAUGGAUUGUCUGUUAUAUGACUAGUACUAGGGGUUCAGUAAAUUUACCCAUAUAAUGUGUUUUUGUUAAAUAUUUAUUAUUAAUAUGGGUAAAUGUAACAUGUUUAUAUAGGUAAAUGUAAUCUGUUUGGUAUGUAGAUACACAAAUUUAGAAUAUAUAACAGAUUUGUUUUUGUAUAGAUAUAUAUUUUGGAGGCAUUCUGUUGUCUGGCUUCUUUAUAUUCCCAUAUGUGUUCAAUUUCCAUAUUCCCUUUCCUGAUUCAUUGUUUUCUUCUAGUAUUAAAGUAGAAUAAAGGCAACCAUGUAUUGUAGAGCAGGGUGUACACAGCGCAAUUUUCAAGGACUCAUUUCUACCUCUGCAGCCAUGCACAGCAGCCUUGCAGUUCAAAUCACGAAGCUACCACUCAUCUGAUGACAUCUUGCUGUCCUAAUCUGAAAGGGAAGCUUUAGGCAAAAUGAACCAUCUUUUGAGGGCUGAACUUGCAAGUGUGUGUGUGUGUGUGUGUGUGUGUAUACACAUAUAUGUGUGUGUAUAUAUAUACCAAUUGGAUCAAAAAUAUGAAUCAAACUAAUUGGUAAUUUUUUCUUCUAGAAUUAGGCAAAAUGACAAGACUGAAUCCUCAGGAAAGAUACUUAAUUCUCCUUAUUGGUGUUGCCUCUGAGGACAUGCUGUGAUGUGAUGGUGUAAGAAUAGUGAUGUUAUGUUGAAAUUCUUUCAGUUCUCACUGAUAUGAAAAUAGUUCUAAAUAUAUUACAAGUUUUGAACUCUAGUAGAUUGAAAUAUAUCAAGACCACAGGGUAAUUAACUUCUCUAUAGUUUGGAAAAUUAAUUGGAGAAGACACUAAGAAUUUUGCAGAUAAUCUCUCUUAAAGUAAUAUUGUAAAUAUUUAAGUAUGGUUGGCAUUCUUAAGUAUGGUUAACCAUACUUAAGUGUGGUUAACAUAACAGUAAUAUAUAUAUUUAUAUAUCAUCCUAUCUCCAAGGAGCUCUUAGUAAUUUACAAAUUGUUUUUAAAUAUGGUUAUAGCUCACAGAUUCUCUACAAAGCAAGCAGGAACAAGUUCUAUGAAUACUACUUAAAUCAAGGAGUUUGAGAUUCUUUGAGUGGCAAAUCCAGACUCAUCCAGUGUGUCAGCAUCUGAGUUAGACACUCUUGGCACCCAUGUCCUUCCUGUUUUGUGGUUUUCAGUGGGAGCCUAGACUCCUAUUUGAUCAAUCUCUUCUUUCUAGCUUGCUUCCAAAACACCACCACACCAUACUCCACUACACGAAGUUCCAGGCAAUGUGGAAUCUGUGCUGUUUUAGUGAGAGAUUGAGACCUCUUUCUGUGGUCCCAGGAAAUUUUGCCAAAAUUGCAAAUACACAGUUCCAGGUGAAUCUUUUUACAAUAUUUGGUGGUUAGCAAAGAAUAAUGUUUCACUGGAUUUUUGAAUUUUACCAAUGAAGGGAGGUGAUGGGGUGCAGUGGAUUAGACACUUGCCUGUAAUUCAGGAACCUGGGUUCUAGUCUUCAGCCCUGAGGCACUUAUAUAAGUUUUGCCUGGGAGCUGAGUUGGGAACAUGAGGACCUUCCUCAGGAGAUGGGGCCUCAGGAAAUGACCCUGGCUUAUAAGGGAAGGUGUAACUGAGUCCUUUAUUGCCAGAUCCUUUCUAUAAAAACACAGUUUUUCUCUCUUCUCCUGUUACUAUCACAGACUUUUAGAAAUUUGAAAUACAAGGACAGACCUAGUAAUAAUUGCUGCCAUUCUUGAGGUCUUUACUUGUGUGCAGUCAUUACUCCCUUUCAUCUUACAAUCUAGGUUUUAACUGUGUGACGUUGGGCAAGUUAUAUAACCACUCUGGUUCUCAGUUUUAUCAAAUAUCAAAAAGGAGGGAUUUGACUAGAUAUAGUGGUUUUCAAAUUGGGCCCUGUGAAUCUCUAAGGAUCAGGGGAGAACCCUUAGGAAUUACUGAGCGUGUCAAAGAAACAGCUACAUAGGCAGGUCUCCUCAAGCUAGCAAUCCCUUCCCUUACUCUCAAUCACAGAAGCUUUGCUUUUUAUCUGUGUCAAAUAGUGGAGUUAUUUGAAAAAAAAGCUUCUCAUGCUAAAAAAGUUUAGCUUUACUUCUGUCAAGAUGGUAUAAAAAGAGACUAGAUUUAUCCUUCUACCUAAAACAAACACAUAAUAUAUAAAAUAUAGUCGUGAGCCACAUAAUGACAUUUCAGUCAAUGAUGGACCACAUAUGUGACGGUGGUCUCUUAGAAUAUAAUAGAGCUGAAAAAUUCCGAUGACCUGGUGACAUCGUUCAUAAUGUCAUAGUACAAUGUAUUACUCACAGGUUUGUGUUGAUGCUGAUGUAAACAAACUUACUGCACUACCAGUUACAUAAAACUCUAGCACCUAAAGUUAUGUAGAAUGCAUAAUACUUGAUAAUAAACUAUGUUACUGGUUUAUUGUAUUAUAUUCAUUAACUGUAAAACAGCUGGUCCUUUAGAAGGUGUUCCAGAAGAAGACGUUGUUAUCAUAGGAGAUGACAGUUCCAUGCAUGUUAAUUGUCCUUGAAGACUUUCCAGUGGGACAAGAUGUGGAGUUUGAAGACUGUUAUAUUGAUAAUCCUGACCCUG